Long non-coding RNA from Rosa rugosa (rugosa rose), 1734 nucleotides. RefSeq lists it as uncharacterized. The transcript is spliced from 4 exons. The record is from RefSeq and is a predicted model, not a curated record. Lineage: Eukaryota; Viridiplantae; Streptophyta; Magnoliopsida; Rosales; Rosaceae.
GCCCUGCCUCGAGUUGAAUCCUCAUUUCCUCAGUUCCUCAGCCGAAAACUCUCUCGGCCCCGACUUUUUCCUCAUCUCUCAAUCGAAUCCUCGCCGCCACCGGACGCCGCCAAUCAAUUCCGGUGACACAAAGACGGGAACUCAGGAAGACAGGAACUCACAGCAGCUUUCCAUCUCUCUUUCCAUCGGUAAGCAGCAAGUAGAGAUUGAAGAAGACUGGGCUGAAGCUGUUGAAGAAGUCAGCGACUGAAGCUGAACGACACCGCCUCAGACCUGCUAACUGUGAUCCAGAUUUGCUUACAUUUGAGACGAAGAAGAAGAAGAAAAGGGGGAUGUCACGUAAUAAGCACUUGGAGUCCCCAAAUAAAUACCAAUGAUUGACUGGGUUCUUGUUUAAUGUGGAUUUUGAGGACAUAUUACAACGGAUAACUGCUGCUAAUUGUCUUAAUACAUGUCUGUUAACGCAACGUCUCUAGUCCACUCAUAAAUAAGAUGUUCUACAGUUUUUGAGACCUUUUUACCAGUUUGUUACUGGUUGCUAACUCCAUUGUAGUUCUGUGGCACCCAAAGAGUAUCCUAUAUAUGUGCAGAAUAUACUUGGCUUGAGCAUGGAAUAUACUUGCAGAAUAUCCUAUCUAUAGUUUGCAUUCUGUACUUAUAGAAUGUGAUACUUGGUGUGCUCAAUUGCCUACUUUUAUGCGACUGAAAUUUGAAUCUCAUCUCAGUGAGUUAUAUGUAAAUCUUCAUUCCUUUACUGGGGCUCAUUUAUGAGUUAUCUAGCGCCCUCAAGCCCCCAUUUUCCAACAAAAUGUUUGCUUUUGAGUUUGGAUUAGAAUGAUUUGGUUGUUUAAUUAGCUGGAGGUGUAUCUAUUUCUCUUCUAUCUUUGUUUUUUCUUUUUGGUGUGAAAACUUGACGUGUGAUUAAGUUUGGAUGGACUGUUUGUUUACUUCCAGAAGACUAUAAGCUUGAGUAAUGUUUCUUUCUCUUUCAAUAUGUAAUCAGUUUCUACUAGUAUUUAGCAAGGGAGGAAGAAGUUAAGAAGAGGCUUUGUGUUGACUGUGUUCCGAUUGAAAGGUAAGUAAUGAGAUGUGCUUUUGUGCUUUUGUUUAACAGAUUUCAUUGAUUUACUUUUAUUAUUGCUAAUUUUUUGUUAUUAUUGUUGUAGAUUAGCUUGGAAUAGACUUGCAGAUUUGGGCUAGUUCUAGAUUUGAUAUUGCUGAAAAUGAAGAUUUGGGCUGUUUUCUGUUUUGUAAUUGUAUUGCAGUUUAUGUAUUUUGUUUCUGUUUGCAGUUUUAUUUUUGCAGUUUCUGUUUGGUCUAUAUACAUUGCAGUUUUUGUUUGGUCUAUAUACAUUGCAGUUUUUGUUUUUUUGUUUUGUAUUGCAGUUUGAUUUUUGCACUUUCUUACUGCAGUUUCUGUUUUUGGUUUCUUAUUGCAGUUUGUGCUUUAUACUAGUGCUCAUUAACUUUCAUAUUCUGUUUUCACUUUCUUAAUGCAGUUUCUGUUCUGUUUUGCAGAUCAACACUAGUGUUGGUGAAUCUACAACACCAAUACCUCCCCACGAAGGAAUUUCUACUGCAACUAGUUUUAGUGAACUUAUACUUCUUUGAUGUAAUGGACUUUUAUAAAUUAUGGACUAUAUUUUUUGACCAUUUCAUAUGUUGAUGCUAGAAUUUGAUGGACUAUUGGACUAUAUCAAUUGAAUUAUAUGGACUAUGGAGUAUUGAAUUAUA